This 497-nucleotide ribosomal RNA is filed under the name uncultured bacterium. RNAcentral's name for it is "partial 16S ribosomal RNA". It matches the Rfam family "Bacterial small subunit ribosomal RNA", at positions 28 to 507 of the family's 1533-position model. The record is from RNAcentral.
GAUGAACGCUGGCGGCGUGCCUAAUACAUGCAAGUCGAGCGAACGGACGAGAAGCUUGCUUCUCUGGUGUUAGAGGCGGACGGGGGAGGAACACGUGGAUAACCUACCUAUAAGACUGGGAUAACGUCGGGAAACCGGAGCUAAUACCGGAUUAUAUUUUGAACUGCAUGGUUCAAAAGUGAAAGGCGGUCUUGCUUUCACUGAUAGAUGGAGCGGCGGUGCAUUAGCUAGUUGGUAAGGUGACGGCUUACGACGGCAACGAUGGCUAGCCGACCUGAGAGGGUGGACGGCCACACUGGAAAUGAGAAACGGGCCAGGCUCCUGAGGGAGGCAGCAGUAGGGAGUCGUCCGCAAUGGGCGAAAGCCUGACGGAGGAACGCCGCGUGAGUGAUGAAGGUCGUCGGAUCGUAAAACGCAGUUAUUAUGGAAGAACAUAUGUGUAAGUAGCUGGGCAGAGCGUGACGGUACCUAAUCAGAAAGCCACGGCUAACUACGUG